This 301-nucleotide ribosomal RNA is filed under the name uncultured bacterium. RNAcentral's name for it is "partial 16S ribosomal RNA". It matches the Rfam family "Bacterial small subunit ribosomal RNA", at positions 509 to 807 of the family's 1533-position model. The record is from RNAcentral.
CAGUAGCCGCGGUAACACGGAGGGUGCGAGCGUUAAUCGGAAUUACUGGGCGUAAAGCGUGCGCAGGCGGUUGUGUAAGACAGGUGUGAAAUCCCCGGGCUUAACCUGGGAACUGCGCUUGUGACUGCACAGCUAGAGUAUGGCAGAGGGGGGUGGAAUUCCACGUGUAGCAGUGAAAUGCGUAGAGAUGUGGAGGAACACCGAUGGCGAAGGCAGCCCCCUGGGCCAAUACUGACGCUCAUGCACGAAAGCGUGGGGAGCAAACAGGAUUAGAUACCCGCGUAGUCCCUGUCUCUUAUAC